UGCAUGUAUCUUUUGUACCUCCAAACCCAGUGGGCAAACAACCUUUUUCACUUCGUACAUUGAGGACGGCAAUUCGUUUCCCUCGGGAAGCAUGUUCUUUAUGAUUUUCAUUAACUCAUCAAAACCCUUAUCAGAAACUCCAAUUUUUACCUUCUAUUGUAGCAUUUUCAGUGUGCUACCAAACUUUUUGUACCCCUUGCAAUCUGGGUACAAUAAUUUCUUAUGAUCAUCUAACAUAUGCUCAAACUUCUUUGACUCCUUCACAUUCUCGCAGUCUUCCUUUGCAUUUCGCAACACCUGACCUAUAUCAUCGGUAGGACCUUCUUCUGCAGCCAUCACUUCUUCAGCCUCGCCUAUUGCAGCAUCUACAAAGGCACCUUCUUAAGUACAGUCAGGAAUGUAGUUACCAUCUUCAUGGUCAUCAUCAUCUUCCAUCAUAACUCCUCUUUUC
RNAcentral lists this long non-coding RNA (451 nucleotides) under Setaria viridis. RNAcentral describes it as "long non-coding RNA (SVIR_LNC004063)". Lineage: Eukaryota; Viridiplantae; Streptophyta; Magnoliopsida; Poales; Poaceae. The record is from RNAcentral.